GACAGAGGGUGCAAACGUUGUUCGGAAUUACUGGGCGUAAAGCGCGUGUGGGCGGCUUUGCAAGUCGGGCGUGAAAUCCCAUGGCUCAACCAUGGAAGUGCACUCGAAACUGCAGAGCUAGAGUCCUGGAGAGGAAGGUGGAAUGCUUGGUGUAGAGGUGAAAUUCGUAGAUAUCAAGCGGAACACCGGUGGCGAAGGCGGCCUUCUGGACAGUGACUGACGCUGAGACGCGAAAGCGUGGGGAGCAAACAGG
RNAcentral lists this ribosomal RNA (253 nucleotides) under uncultured bacterium. RNAcentral's name for it is "partial 16S ribosomal RNA". It matches the Rfam family "Bacterial small subunit ribosomal RNA", at positions 524 to 776 of the family's 1533-position model. The record is from RNAcentral.